GUCAUUUUUAUCGGUAGUUUACUUUGUCAAACACAACAAGCGCAAAUGUUACAGGGAAGGAGGGUUGAUGAGAGCAGUAGCAGCAGCCACGCAAUUGCGCAACCACCACCACUCCAACCCAACAACACUUCCCCCCCACUAACUGAUUUGUAAUGAUCCUUCCGCAGGUUCACCUACGGAAA
RNAcentral lists this unclassified non-coding RNA (182 nucleotides) under uncultured fungus. RNAcentral describes it as "sequence contains ITS1". Lineage: Eukaryota; Fungi. The record is from RNAcentral.